AUAUCAAUAAGCGGAGGAAAAGAAACUAACAAGGAUUCCCCUAGUAACGGCGAGUGAAGAGGGAAAAGCUCAAAUUUAAAAGCUGUUGUCUUUCAGGCAACCGCAUUGUAAUCUCAAGAAGUGUUUUCGAUUGUAGCCUGCGUAUAAGUACCUUGGAAUAGGUUGGCAUAGAGGGUGAAACUCCCGUCUUUGAUGCAGAUUACUAUGAUCAUGUGAUACACUUUCUAAGAGUCGAGUUGUUUGGGAAUGCAGCUCAAAAUGGGUGGUAAAUUCCAUCUAAAGCUAAAUAUUGGCCUGAGACCGAUAGCGAACAAGUACCGUGAGGGAAAGAUGAAAAGCACUUUGGAAAGAGAGUCAAACAGAACGUGAAAUUGCUGAAAGGGAAGCGUUUGAAGUUAGUCUGAUAGGAGUUGUUCAAUUGUUACUUUGGUUUCAAUGUAUGCAACUUUUUAUCGGUCAACAUCAAUUUUGAUUGAUGGAUAAAGGUAAUAGGAAUGUGGCUACAAUUUGUAGUGUUAUAGCCUAUUAUCAUAAACAUUGAUUGAGAUUGAGGACGGCAGUGUACCUUUUAGGAAGGUGUUCGCACCUAUUACACUAAGGAUGUUGACAAAAUAGCUUUAAGCGAC
This 626-nucleotide ribosomal RNA is filed under the name Wallemia mellicola. Its description in RNAcentral is "LSU rRNA". It matches the Rfam family "Eukaryotic large subunit ribosomal RNA", at positions 40 to 648 of the family's 3401-position model. Lineage: Eukaryota; Fungi; Basidiomycota; Wallemiomycetes; Wallemiales; Wallemiaceae. The record is from RNAcentral.